Molecule: long non-coding RNA, 1933 nt
Filed under: Piliocolobus tephrosceles (Ugandan red Colobus)
Lineage: Eukaryota; Metazoa; Chordata; Mammalia; Primates; Cercopithecidae
Description: lncRNA (ENSPTEG00000014285.1)
Source: RNAcentral
AACUAUUGUUUUCAUUUUUUUUUAUUUUUAAUAGUUUUGCCCUAUCUUGAUAAAAAAUAACUUGAAUGAAUAUAACAUAUUUAUUAAUAUUUACCAAUUAUUCGUUAAACAUAAAUUUAUUUUAUGAAUUAGCUUGUAAAAAUUUGUCACACUUAUACAUAAAUAUAUAUAUAUAUAUAUAUAUAUACAUUUAAAGGACAUAUAUUGGACCAGUGAAGAAUUUAUUUUGAUUUUUAAAAAUAGUAAUAAAUAAAAAGUUAAGAAAUUAAAAAAAAAAAAAAAAAAAAAUAACAUUUUUAUAAAUAAUUUUGAACUUAUGGAUCAGAGGGGGGGUAGUACGGAUCAGUAAAUAUAAGUAUAUUGUACUGUUUAACAUAAUUUUUAAGUACAUUGUAUGAGCAAAAAAAAUAUAUAUAUUUAUGUAUAUAUACAAAUGCAUGUAUGUACAUAAACAAUAUAAAUGAAUUAAAUUGUAUUUAUUUAGACCCCAUGUAAAACAUAUAAAUGUCAGAGUAUUGGAUUAGCACAAAAAAACACUAUUGCGAAACCUGUAAUUGUUGGGUAUCAGGAAAUAAAAUAAAUAUAAAAAAUCAUGAGAAAGGCACAAGACAUAUUGAAAAUUUUAAAAAGUUGAUUAGUGCAUCAUAUAAAAGAAAAGAAAAAGAAAAACAAGAGAAUGAAUUUAUAGAAAAAGAAUUGAAAAAAUUCGAAGAUGUCGAAAAAAAGUUACUUCUUAAUUUAAAAAAGAAUGAAAAUCUUGAAAUUAAUAAAAGUUAUAAUAUAGAAACAGGGAAUAUAAUUAAUAAUAAUAUAAAUAUUGGUGAUAAUAAUAUAAAUAUUGGUGAUAAUAAUAUAAAUAUUGGUGAUAAUAAUAUAAAUAAUGGUGACAAUAAUAACAUACUUAGUAGUAAUAAAAACAUAAUUAAUACAAAUAUAAAUAAUAAUUCUGUUAAUAUUAUUAACAGUAAUAAUGUUAAUAAAAAAAAAUGGACAUUAAUGGUAAAUGAAGACACAGGACGUUUGAUUUUUGUAAAUAUAUUAACAAAUGAAAUAUGUUAUGAAAAACCUAAAGAUUUUUAUGAAAGUAUACCAGAAUGUGAAAUAUUUUCUGAACAAAAUGGAUGGUAUAAAUAUUUCGAUUACAAUGCAAGAAAUUUUUAUUAUUAUAAUAUAAAUAGUAAAAAAGGUAUAUGGCAAUAUAGUUUACAUACAUUAAAUAUUUUGAAUGAUUAUACAAAAAAUUACUAUAAUACAUUGGUAAAAAAUACAAAUAAUUAUGAUAGUAAUAAUAACAACAGUAAUAAUAUAGCAAAUAAUGUUAAAAAUUAUAAUACUACUUUUACAACAACCGUUUUACCAACGGAGAAGAACAUCAAUAAAAAUGUUAAUAAAAACGUUAAUAUAAACUUUAAUGAAAACGUUAAUGAAAACGUUAAUAUAAACAUGAAUUAUCAAAAUUCUCAAUAUUACCUUGAUAAAAUAAAUGGUAUGAAUAACAUAAUGACAUAUAAUCCAGUAAUGAAAAACGGAAUUGAAAAUUUUAAUAAUAAUUUUAAUUAUAAUUUUAAUAAUAAUUUGAUUAAUAAUUUGGUUAAUAAUUCGGUUAAUAAUUCGGUUAACAGUUGUAAUAAAAAAUGGGAAACACAUGAAAAGUUGAAUGAAGAGAUAAGUAGGGUAAAUAAAAUAAGUGAAAUGUCCCAUAUUGAUUCAAUAAAUCGAAACGACGAAAAUGCAAAAGCAAUUAAAAAUAAAAUGAUCAAUACAAAUAUUAACACUUUAUUAGUAGAUUCAGAUGAAAACACAAAAAAGGAAAUGAAUUUACAUAUUGUAAAAAAAAAUACAACAAAUAGUGAAAAUAAUGAUAAGGUAAAUUAUCAAGCUGUGUCAAAGGAUAUAAGUGUUUUAAAACAUGAUAAUAUUUUAAAUAUAGAAC